This 301-nucleotide ribosomal RNA is filed under the name uncultured bacterium. Its description in RNAcentral is "partial 16S ribosomal RNA". It matches the Rfam family "Bacterial small subunit ribosomal RNA", at positions 509 to 809 of the family's 1533-position model. The record is from RNAcentral.
CAGUCGCCACGGUAAUACGAAGGGUGCAAGCGUUACUCGGAAUUACUGGGCGUAAAGCGUGCGUAGGUGGUGGUUUAAGUCCGUUGUGAAAGCCCUGGGCUCAACCUGGGAAUUGCAGUUGAUACCGGAUCACUAGAGUGUGGUAGAGGAUAGUGGAAUUUCCGGUGUAGCAGUGAAAUGCGUAGAUAUGCGGAGGAACACCGAUGGCGAAGGCAAUCCCCUGGACCUGUACUGACGCUCAUGCACGAAAGCGUGGGGAGCAAACAGGAUUAGAUACCCCAGUAGUCCCUGUCUCUUAUAA